This 508-nucleotide ribosomal RNA is filed under the name uncultured Enterobacter sp. RNAcentral's name for it is "bacterial SSU rRNA". It matches the Rfam family "Bacterial small subunit ribosomal RNA", at positions 505 to 1016 of the family's 1533-position model. The record is from RNAcentral. Lineage: Bacteria; Pseudomonadati; Pseudomonadota; Gammaproteobacteria; Enterobacterales; Enterobacteriaceae.
GUGCCAGCAGCUGCGGUAAUACGGAGGGUGCAAGCGUUAAUCGGAAUUACUGGGCGUAAAGCGCACGCAGGCGGUCUGUCAAGUCGGAUGUGAAAUCCCCGGGCUCAACCUGGGAACUGCAUUCGAAACUGGCAGGCUGGAGUCUUGUAGAGGGGGGUAGAAUUCCAGGUGUAGCGGUGAAAUGCGUAGAGAUCUGGAGGAAUACCGGUGGCGAAGGCGGCCCCCUGGACAAAGACUGACGCUCAGGUGCGAAAGCGUGGGGAGCAAACAGGAUUAGAUACCCUGGUAGUCCACGCCGUAAACGAUGUCGACUUGGAGUUGUGCCCUUGAGCGUGGCUUCCGGAGCUAACGCGUUAAGUCGACCGCCUGGGGAGUACGGCCGCAAGGUUAAAACUCAAAUGAAUUGACGGGGCCGCACAAGCGGUGGAGCAUGUGGUUUAAUUCGAUGCAACGCGAAGAACCUUACCUACUCUUGACAUCCAGAGAACUUAGCAGAGAUGCUUUGGUG